AAGACUCUGAUAUCUCCAACACAUUUGAUGUCAUCAUUGCAAGUGACUGCACUUUCUUCAAAGAAUUCCAUGGAGCACUUGUCCGAACUAUCAAAUCAUUGUUAAAAAAGGAAGGUCCUUCUGAAGCCAUACUUUUCAGCCCCAGAAGAGGCAACUCAUUGGACAAGUUUCUCGGAGAAGUUAAAGAUAGCGGAUUGCAUUUCAGCACAGACGAAAUGUAUGACACAGAAGUUUGGAGGCGUCAUCAGGGAUUUGUCGAAGGUGAUGAUUCCUGGCCAAAUUAUGAGAUGGAUCAUUGCUAUCCUUUACUGGUCAGAAUUACGCGAUGAAGAUUUGAAAAUGCAGGUUAUACUGUGUCUAGUAUGCUUAUUUUGUACAUACAAAACCAUCAAAAGCUAGCUCAGAUCUUAUAUACUAUGAUAUAUGAACUGAUUCCACUAUGGACAAGUCACUGAUUAUUAUCAGUUUAUCAAAAUUUUG
RNAcentral lists this unclassified non-coding RNA (480 nucleotides) under Hevea brasiliensis (rubber tree). The record is from RNAcentral. Lineage: Eukaryota; Viridiplantae; Streptophyta; Magnoliopsida; Malpighiales; Euphorbiaceae.